CAGGGCUUAAUGUUCACAGUAAAACAUUUAAAGCUAUGUAGAGGGAAACAAGGACUUAAAUGGACACCAAAUCCAAGUUAAAUCCGUCAUUAGUUUAACAAGCUUAAUAUAUAUGUCUUGUGUGGAGAAGCAAAAAAAAUUAAACAUAAAAUAAUUCAAAAAAUGAAUAAUGUAAAAGCCAGUUAUAAACCUCUCUCCUACAGCACCAUAUCUUCUCAUCUGGAUUGCCACAGACGGAUGAUGAGUCGAUCAAUCAGUUACUUCAUCAAGAUAAGCACAACAUGCAUGGAAGGAUCCAACAAAAAGAGAUGCGGCUAUAUAACCACAGCAACGAGAAUAUGCAAUCUGGAGGAAGCAUGAUAUCUAUGGGAACAAAUUCACCCCAUGUUUUAAUACACAUAGGAAAACUUGCAAGUGCUGGUAAGGCCAAAAGAUAAAGUUAUAGAGAGAUUUUAGAAGUUUGAUCAAUUCUUACUAAGUGCCUUAGAGUACGGGGAAUUCGAUUUUUUUCUAUGUGAUAAUGAUUUAAGUAGAUUCCAUUUAGUAAAUAACAGGACUGGUUAUCUUGGCAUCAAUUCCUUUAAAUAGAGAACCUAUGGAUUUCUAAGAUUAACUCUAUUUUCUUGCUCCAACUUGUGCUGAGGCCUUGUUGUGGAUUCAGUAAACUGGGGCAUAAAACUUGACAAAUGACACUUAAGUCAUACAUUUCGAGGACUUUAAUAAAGACU
RNAcentral lists this long non-coding RNA (728 nucleotides) under Olea europaea subsp. europaea. The record is from RNAcentral. Lineage: Eukaryota; Viridiplantae; Streptophyta; Magnoliopsida; Lamiales; Oleaceae.